CAGUCUUCGCUCGAGUGUCCCAAGUAACGCCGGGACCGUGAAAAACUGGCGUGAAUCUGCGAGGACCACCUCGUAAGGCUAAGUAUACGUAGACGACCGAUAGUGCACCAGUACCGUGAGGGAAAGGUGAAAAGUACCCCGGGAGGGGAGUGAAAUAGUACCUGAAACCGUUGGUUUACAAUCAGUCAAAGCGUCGUCAUGACUUGUCAUGGCCGCGAUGGCGUGCCUUUUGAAGAAUGAGCCAGCGAGUUACGAUACGUGGCAAGGUUAACCAGUGAUGGGGAGCCGGAGCGAAAGCGAGUCUGAAUAGGGCGUUCAGUCGCGUGUUGUAGACCCGAAGCCAAGUGAUCUAUCCAUGGGCAGGCUGAAGCGGGGGUAAGACCUCGUGGAGGGCCGAACCCACCUAGGUUAAAAACUGGGGGAGUGACCUGUGGAUAGGGGUGAAAGGCCAAUCAAACUUGGUGAUAGCUGGUUCUCCCCGAAAUGCAUUUAGGUGCAGCGUCGUGUGUUCAGUCA
Molecule: ribosomal RNA, 516 nt
Filed under: uncultured bacterium
Lineage: Bacteria
Description: bacterial LSU rRNA
Rfam family: Bacterial large subunit ribosomal RNA
Source: RNAcentral